GACGAACGCUGGCGGCGUGCUUAACACAUGCAAGUCGAACGGAAAGGCCCUGCUUGCAGGGUGCUCGAGUGUCGAGCGGGUGAGUAACACGUGGGUGAACUGCCCCUUACUUUGGGAUAAGCCUGGGAAACUGGGUCUAAUACUGGAUAGGGCCAUGCUGUAGGUGGGGUGGUGGAUGGAUUGUUUUGGGUGGGGGGGGAGCUCGCGGCCUAUCAGCUUGUUGGUGGGGUAAUGGCCUACUAAGGCGUCGACGGGUAGCCGGCCUGAGAGGGUGGUGGGCGGCAUCGGGACUACGAUGCGACCCAGAAGCCUACGGCGGGCGGCAGUGGGGAAGAAUGCAGAAUGGGCGCAAGCCUGAUGCAGCGACGCCGCGUGGGGGGUGAUGGCGUCCGGGUUGUAAUCUACUGUCUGCGAUGGCGAAGAAGUUGUGGUGACGGUAGUGGUAGAAGAAGCACCGGCUAACUACGUG
RNAcentral lists this ribosomal RNA (469 nucleotides) under uncultured bacterium. RNAcentral describes it as "partial 16S ribosomal RNA". It matches the Rfam family "Bacterial small subunit ribosomal RNA", at positions 28 to 507 of the family's 1533-position model. The record is from RNAcentral.